CCAGGUGAUUAGCUUUGAAGAUUUCUAUUAUAGUCAAUUGGUGGCCUUUGUGUUUCUCCUUUUUUUAUCAGAUUUUAUGUAGUGUUUUGAAGACUUCUUUUUCUUUUAGUUUCUUUUCUGUUUUUUUUUUGCAUUGAUUUUGUCAGUCUGUUUAUUGAUUUAUCAGGUUUGAUUGAUAAAGAGGGCCUUGAUGGGGCCUACAAUUCUGUUUUCUUUAAUCUUUCAAGUCAUUUUUAU
This 237-nucleotide long non-coding RNA is filed under the name Mytilus galloprovincialis (Mediterranean mussel). Lineage: Eukaryota; Metazoa; Mollusca; Bivalvia; Mytilida; Mytilidae. The record is from RNAcentral.